GUGAAUCAUCGAAUUUUUGAACGCAAAUUGCACUCUCCUCGGAGAGUAAGCCUGUUUGAGGGUCAGCAUAUAAAAAAUCGACAUCGGUGCUGUUUCGCGGUGACGUGCGUCGGAAAUUGGGUCAUAUUAAAUCCUUGUGGUUUUAAGCGACUUAAAAAUUUAUAUUUGGUUCCAUGAAAGUUUCUAAGAGUAAUAUCUUUACACGUUUAAGGUAUAGAUUUUUAUUAGACGUGACCAUCAUAUCGGAUAGCGUCAAUAAUCUUUCAUUAACUGAUCU
This 277-nucleotide unclassified non-coding RNA is filed under the name Glomus sp. Its description in RNAcentral is "partial contains 5.8S ribosomal RNA and internal transcribed spacer 2". The stretch from base 1 to 65 matches the Rfam family "5.8S ribosomal RNA", at positions 84 to 154 of the family's 154-position model. Lineage: Eukaryota; Fungi; Glomeromycota; Glomeromycetes; Glomerales; Glomeraceae. The record is from RNAcentral.